AAGUCGUAACAAGGUUUCCGUAGGUGAACCUGCGGAAGGAUCAUUAACACGUAUCCAAACGUUAACCCCCCUGUGAACCAGUUCAAUGUUGAGUGUCUGAAAGUGUCAUUAGCUGUGUAAGGAUGACGCAGUCACAAUCGUUGGAGGCCGACACGGCCGACGACCGGGUCACUGGGCCCUUUUAUGCAUGUCAGACGUGCCAGCCUUAAUUGAGCGGCAACAAAAAACCGAACAACUGUUAACAAUGGAUAUCUUGGUUCUC
RNAcentral lists this unclassified non-coding RNA (262 nucleotides) under fungal sp. Its description in RNAcentral is "partial internal transcribed spacer region". The stretch from base 1 to 46 matches the Rfam family "Eukaryotic small subunit ribosomal RNA", at positions 1786 to 1831 of the family's 1831-position model. Lineage: Eukaryota; Fungi. The record is from RNAcentral.